RNAcentral lists this ribosomal RNA (456 nucleotides) under uncultured organism. RNAcentral's name for it is "partial 16S ribosomal RNA". It matches the Rfam family "Bacterial small subunit ribosomal RNA", at positions 329 to 801 of the family's 1533-position model. The record is from RNAcentral.
ACGUAUACUCCUGCGGGAGGCAGCAGUGGGGAAUAUUGGACAAUGGGCGCAAGCCUGAUCCAGCCAUGCCGCGUGAGUGAUGAAGGCCCUAGGGUUGUAAAGCUCUUUCACCGGUGAAGAUAAUGACGGUAACCGGAGAAGAAGCCCCGGCUAACUUCGUGCCAGCCGCCGCGGUAAUACGAAGGGGGCUAGCGUUGUUCGGAUUUACUGGGCGUAAAGCGCACGUAGGCGGACUAUUAAGUCAGGGGUGAAAUCCCGGGGCUCAACCCCGGAACUGCCUUUGAUACUGGUAGUCUUGAGUUCGAGAGAGGUGAGUGGAAUUCCGAGUGUAGAGGUGAAAUUCGUAGAUAUUCGGAGGAACACCAGUGGCGAAGGCGGCUCACUGGCUCGAUACUGACGCUGAGGUGCGAAAGCGUGGGGAGCAAACAGGAUUAGAUACCCCAGUAGUCCCAUGAU